GACGGAGGAGGCAAGCGUUAUCCGGAAUUAUUGGGCGUAAAGCGUCCGCAGGUGGCCCAUCAAGUCUGCUGUUAAAGCCCAGGGCUCAACCCUGGAUCAGCAGUGGAAACUGAUGAGCUUAGAGUGCGGUAGGGGUAGAGGGAAUUCCCGGUGUAGCGGUGAAAUGCGUAGAGAUCGGGAAGAACACCAGUGGCGAAAGCGCUCUACUGGACCGCAACUGACACUCAUGGACGAAAGCUAGGGGAGCGAAUGGGAUUAGAUACCCCAGUAGUCCUAGCCGUAAACGAUGGACACUAGGUGUUGCGCGUAUCGACCCGUGCAGUGCCGGAGCCAACGCGUUAAGUGUCCCGCCUGGGGAGU
This 360-nucleotide ribosomal RNA is filed under the name uncultured Thermosynechococcaceae cyanobacterium. RNAcentral describes it as "bacterial SSU rRNA". It matches the Rfam family "Bacterial small subunit ribosomal RNA", at positions 524 to 881 of the family's 1533-position model. The record is from RNAcentral. Lineage: Bacteria; Bacillati; Cyanobacteriota; Cyanophyceae; Acaryochloridales; Thermosynechococcaceae.